This 513-nucleotide ribosomal RNA is filed under the name uncultured bacterium. RNAcentral describes it as "partial 16S ribosomal RNA". It matches the Rfam family "Bacterial small subunit ribosomal RNA", at positions 28 to 523 of the family's 1533-position model. The record is from RNAcentral.
GAUGAACGCUGGCGGCGUGCCUAAUACAUGCAAGUAGAACGCUGACUACUUUAGCUUGCUAGAGUAGAAGGAGUUGCGAACGGGUGAGUAACGCGUAGGUAACCUGCCUACUAGCGGGGGAUAACUAUUGGAAACGAUAGCUAAUACCGCAUAACAGUGUUUAACACAUGUUAGAUGCUUGAAAGAUGCAAUUGCAUCACUAGUAGAUGGACCUGCGUUGUAUUAGCUAGUUGGUGGGGUAACGGCCCACAAAGGCGACGAUAACUAGCCGACCGGAGAGGGUGAUUGGGCACACUGGGGCUGAAACAAGGGCCAGACUCCUACGGGAGGCAGCUGUAGGGAAUCUUCGGCAAUUGGGGCAACCCUGACCGAGCAACGCCGCGUGAGUGAAGAAGGUUUUCGGAUCGUAAAGCUCUGUUGUAAGAGAAGAACGUGUGUGAGAGUGGAAAGUUCACACAGUGACGGUAACUUACCAGAAAGGGACGGCUAACUACGUGCCAGCCGCCGCCGUAA